Molecule: ribosomal RNA, 518 nt
Filed under: uncultured bacterium
Lineage: Bacteria
Description: partial 16S ribosomal RNA
Rfam family: Bacterial small subunit ribosomal RNA
Source: RNAcentral
AACGAACGCUGACGGUAUGCCUAAUACAUGCAAGUCGCACGAGAAAGUUCCUUCGGGAGCGAGUAGAGUGGCGCACGGGUGAGUAACACGUAGGUGACCUACCUUUUGGAGUGGAAUAACCCCGAGAAAUUAGGGCUAAUACCGCGUAAGAUCGACUGAUUUAAAUAAGGUUGAUGAAAGGGUGCCUCUAUUUAUAAGCACUCGCCGAAAGCAGGGCCUGCGGGACAUUAGCUAGAUGGUGGGGUAAUGGCCUACCAUGGCGUCGAUGUCUAGCGGAUCUGAGAGGAUGAUCCGCCACACUGGAACUGAGACACGGUCCAGACUCCUACGGGAGGCAGCAGUAGGGAAUAUUGCGCAAUGGGGGAAACCCUGACGCAGCAAUACCGUGUGAGUGAGGAAGGUCUUCGGAUUGUAAAGCUCUGUCGGGGUGGAAAAAUGGCGGACGGUCUAAUAGGCCGUACGAUUGAUGGUACACCCAAAGGAAGCACCGGCUAACUUCGUGCCAGCCGCCGCAGUAA